AACGAACGCUGGCGGCAGGCUUAACACAUGCAAGUCGAACGGAUCCUCCGGGAUUAGUUGCAGUCGGGUGAGUAACGCGUGGGAACGUACCCUUUGCUACCGAAUAAUUCAGGUUAACUUGAGCUAAUACCGGAUGUGCUCCACGGGGGAAAGAUUUAUCGGCAAAGGAUCGGCCCGCGUUGGUUUAGCCGGUUGGUGGGGUAAUGGCCUACCAAGGCGUCGAUCGAUAGCUGGUCUGAGAGGAUGAUCAGCCACACUGGGGCUGAGACACGGCCCAGAAUCCUAGGCGAGGGAGCAGUGGGUGAUAUUGGACAAUGGGCGCAGGCCUGAUCCAGCCAUGCCGGGUGAGUGAUGAAGGUGUUAGGAUUGUGCAGCUCUUUCACCGGUGGAGAUAAUGACGGUAGCCGGAGAAGAAGCACCGGCUAACUUCGUG
This 433-nucleotide ribosomal RNA is filed under the name uncultured bacterium. RNAcentral's name for it is "partial 16S ribosomal RNA". It matches the Rfam family "Bacterial small subunit ribosomal RNA", at positions 29 to 507 of the family's 1533-position model. The record is from RNAcentral.